CUACCUUUAUCAGAUUAAGAUUCUUCUUCACAGGCAGAUCUUCAUGCCCAAGGACAUAUAACACCAAGGAAAAUACAUUAAGUGUCCAUAAGCACCAAAAAGCUAAACGUUCGGCACAAGAAGGGAUUCCACACAUGAGAAAACACCUGACAGCCUCUUCCCUACCUAUUCCCCACCCCCCUCCAAAAAAAGGCCAUUUAAUCAGCUUCAUAAACAUUUACUGCACCAGUACACUCCGAGCGAGUGCUUCGACGGAUCUCCUACCUACACCAAAGCCGAACAGGGAAACAGAAUCAACCGCCCCGACGCUUUCAGGCGGUCGGGAAGAUCGGGAGAAUUAUUAGAAACGGACGUCCGCAGGAUCGGGAGUGAGAGAGGGGUAAGCAGUACACUGGAAGGAAGAAAUAGGUAGAUGAAAUAAGAGCAGCAGAAUGUUGAUAACUAUGGAAAAUGAGUGAUGAAAAUGUUAUUCUUAAAAAUACAGCUAAAGAGGACAGAGC
Molecule: long non-coding RNA, 500 nt
Organism: Myotis lucifugus (little brown bat)
Lineage: Eukaryota; Metazoa; Chordata; Mammalia; Chiroptera; Vespertilionidae
Exons: 3
Source: RefSeq, a predicted model, not a curated record